This 279-nucleotide ribosomal RNA is filed under the name uncultured bacterium. RNAcentral's name for it is "partial 16S ribosomal RNA". It matches the Rfam family "Bacterial small subunit ribosomal RNA", at positions 506 to 784 of the family's 1533-position model. The record is from RNAcentral.
UGCCAGCAGCCGCGGUAAUACGGAAGGUCCAAGCGUUGUUCGGAAUUACUGGGCGUAAAGCGCACGUAGGCGGAUUAGUAAGUUAGAGGUGAAAUCCCAGGGCUCAACCCUGGAACUGCCUUUAAUACUGCUAGUCUUGAGUUCGAGAGAGGUAAGUGGAAUUCCAAGUGUAGAGGUGAAAUUCGUAGAUAUUUGGAGGAACACCAGUGGCGAAGGCGGCUUACUGGCUCGAUACUGACGCUGAGGUGCGAAAGUGUGGGGAGCAAACAGGAUUAGAUA